Molecule: ribosomal RNA, 768 nt
Filed under: uncultured archaeon
Lineage: Archaea
Description: bacterial SSU rRNA
Rfam family: Archaeal small subunit ribosomal RNA
Source: RNAcentral
UUCCGGUUGAUCCUGCCGGAGGCCAUUGCUAUCGGAGUCCGAUUUAGCCAUGCUAGUCGAGCGAGGUUAGCCCUCGCGGCGAACAGCUCAGUAACACGUGGCCAAGCUACCCUGCAGAGGGGGACAGCGUCGGGAAACUGACGGGAAUCCCCCAUACCGGUCUCACGCUGGAAUGCCGAGACCGACAAACGCUCCGGCGCUGCAGGAUGCGGCUGCGGCCGAUUAGGUAGUCGGUGGGGUAACGGCCCACCGAGCCGAUAAUUGGUACGGGGUGUGAGAGCACGAGCCCGGAGACGGAAUCUGAGACAAGAUUCCGGGCCCUACGGGGCGCAGCAGGCGCGAAACCUUUACACUGCACGAACGUGCGAUAAGGGGACUCCGAGUGCGAGGGCAUACAGUCCUCGCUAUUGUGUACCGUAGGGUGGUACACGACCAAGAGCUGGGCAAGACCGGUGCCAGCCGCCGCGGUAAUACCGGCAGCUCGAGUGAUGGCCGAUUUUAUUGGGCCUAAAGCGUCCGUAGCUGGCCCUGCAAGUCCGUCGGGAAAUCCACUCGCCUAACGAGUGGGCGUCCGGCGGAAACUACAGGGCUUGGGACCGGAAGACUUGAGGGGUACGUCUGGGGUAGGAGCGAAAUCCUGUAAUCCUGGACGGACCGCCGAUAGCGAAAGCACCUCAAGACGACGGAUCCGACAGUGAGGGACGAAAGCUAGGGUCUCGAACCGGAUUAGAUACCCGGGUAGUCCUAGCUGUAAACGAUGUUCGCUAG